RNAcentral lists this ribosomal RNA (450 nucleotides) under uncultured bacterium. RNAcentral's name for it is "partial 16S ribosomal RNA". It matches the Rfam family "Bacterial small subunit ribosomal RNA", at positions 354 to 796 of the family's 1533-position model. The record is from RNAcentral.
GUGGGGAAUCUUCCGCAAUGGACGAAAGUCUGACGGAGCAACGCCGCGUGAACGAUGACGGCCUUCGGGUUGUAAAGUUCUGUUAUACGGGACGAAUGGUACGACGGCCAAUACCCGUCGUAAGUGACGGUACCGUAAGAGAAAGCCACGGCUAACUACGUGCCAGCAGCCGCGGUAAUACGUAGGUGGCAAGCGUUGUCCGGAAUUAUUGGGCGUAAAGGGCGCGCAGGCGGCGUCGUAAGUCGGUCUUAAAAGUGCGGGGCUUAACCCCGUGAGGGGACCGAAACUGCGAUGCUAGAGUAUCGGAGAGGAAAGCGGAAUUCCUAGUGUAGCGGUGAAAUGCGUAGAUAUUAGGAGGAACACCAGUGGCGAAAGCGGCUUUCUGGACGACAACUGACGCUGAGGCGCGAAAGCCAGGGGAGCAAACGGGAUUAGAUACCCCGGUAGUCC